Molecule: transfer RNA, 50 nt
Filed under: Physacanthus nematosiphon
Lineage: Eukaryota; Viridiplantae; Streptophyta; Magnoliopsida; Lamiales; Acanthaceae
Description: partial tRNA-His
Source: RNAcentral
ANGUAGCCAAGUGGAUCAAGGCAGUGGAUUGUGAAUCCACCAUGCGCGAA